GCCUGGGUGGCGGAACUGGUAGACGCAAGGGACUUAAAAUCCCUUGAGGCCCUGUCCUCGUACGAGUUCAAGUCUCGUCCCGGGCACCA
Molecule: transfer RNA, 89 nt
Filed under: Desulfobacterales bacterium
Lineage: Bacteria; Pseudomonadati; Thermodesulfobacteriota; Desulfobacteria; Desulfobacterales
Also listed under: 1 other name
Description: tRNA-Leu
Rfam family: tRNA
About the family: Transfer RNA (tRNA) molecules are approximately 80 nucleotides in length. Their secondary structure includes four short double-helical elements and three loops (D, anti-codon, and T loops). Further hydrogen bonds mediate the characteristic L-shaped molecular structure. tRNAs have two regions of fundamental functional importance: the anti-codon, which is responsible for specific mRNA codon recognition, and the 3' end, to which the tRNAs corresponding amino acid is attached (by aminoacyl-tRNA synthetases). tRNAs cope with the degeneracy of the genetic code in two manners: having more than one tRNA (with a specific anti-codon) for a particular amino acid; and 'wobble' base-pairing, i.e. permitting non-standard base-pairing at the 3rd anti-codon position.
Source: RNAcentral